Myotis myotis is the source of this 574-nucleotide long non-coding RNA. RefSeq lists it as uncharacterized. The transcript has 3 exons. NCBI's taxonomy places the organism in Eukaryota, Metazoa, Chordata, Mammalia, Chiroptera, Vespertilionidae. The record is from RefSeq and is a predicted model, not a curated record.
GGGGAGCUCCUCGCCCGGCUGGCGAAGGCCGGAGGCUCCCAGGGCCUCGCUGCCCUGCGCCCUGCGCGCUGCGCCCGGGACGCCGGCUCCCCGCGCUGCCGCCCUCCUCGAGGGCAGGGCGAGCCCCGUCCGGUGGACGACGAACUUAUGGGACACCUAUGCUGACUCUCAGUGAGGCAACAGUGUUUACAAUAUGAAGGACAUGAAGAUACUAAUUUUAAUAUUCUCAUUUCACCCUGAAAACAACCUGUAAGAACGGUGAAACAACUUAAGAAAUCAGCGUGUGCUCCUCAGAGAGUCUGCGGCUCACCUAACCAUCCAGGCCACUUCCAGGAAGACUUCAGUGGUGGCUCCUGAGAUGGUUUCCAUCAUUGGUGUGGUGAUGGGUGGACGUCUUAGGAAGAUGAGGAAACUGAGGCCCAGGCGACAGGUGAGCUGUCUAAGGUCGCGAAAGAGUUGGGUAGAUGCCAUGACCAGAGCUCAGGUCUCCACCCCUGCCAGGGUUCCUCCCACUUGGAGAAUGGCAGUGGCUCCUGCCAUUUGCAUUCAAUCCAUGUUCCAGCCACAAUCUGUG